AGUGGACUGAUGAGCCCUUGAAGGGUGAAGAUGGAGGUCCGAGUAAGGCCAGCAGAGGGGCGGAGCUUCUGAGUGGCAGCAGUUCAAAAGAAGGAUUCCAAGCAGACAACCUCAUCGCUCGACCAUCAGAGAGUGACGACUUCAGAUCACGCUCGCUGUUCUGUUUCAGAAGAUUUCUUGGUGCCGAGCCAGAAUCUCCUGGUGUAAAAGAGGAUGUUGAGCUCCCCCAAAUCAAAGAGGAAGAGGAGCCAGAGCCCUGUCAACAGAAGGAGAGAGAAGAGCAACUUCCAGUCAAAAAGGAGGAGGAGGAGCUGCCAUAUGGUAAAUAGGAGGAAGACGAGGAGCAUAUCUCCAGUUCUACUGGUGAGCCCUUGAAGAGUGAAGAUGGUCUGAAUGAGGCCAGCAGAGCGGCGGAGCCUCAAAGCGGGGGGAGUAGCAUCAGCUCAACAGAAGGAUUGCAAGCAGACAUUUACAUUGGUCCAUCGGACAGAGAUGGCGCUACGUCACACUGAACUUCCAAUGAUGAUGGUCAUAAGACAUGUUGUGGUGACGACAAACUCUGCAAAUGCUCUCAGUUUGGGGAAACCUUUGAUACCAAGCAAACUUGUCGUGCGCAUAUGAGGAGGCACACUGGCGAAAAACCUUUUUCCUGCUCAGCUUGUGGGCAAAGAUUCAAUUGCAAUAGCACCUUAAAACAACACACAAGAACCCACACUGGUGAAAAAAAAACUUUUUUCCUGCUCAAUUUGUGGAAAAAGUUUUGUUCAAAUGGGAAUCUUUACAAAACACACAAGAACCCACACUGGUGAAAAACCUUUUUCCUGCUCAGUUGAUGCAAAGAGAUUUGUUCAUGCAUGAGCCUUAACAAAACACACAAGAACCCAAACUAGCGAAAAAAUGUUUUCCUGCUCAGUUUGUGGUCAAAGAUUCACUCAAAAGAAAUACUUGAAAGUACACAAAAGAACCCACAGUGGCAAAAAAAACUUUUUCCUGCUCAGUUUGUGGUCAAAGAUUUGCUCAAAAGCACAACUUAGAAAGUCACGAAAGAACCCACACUGGUAAAAAACCUUUUCCUGCUCAGCUUGUGGUCAAAGAUUCACUCAAAGAAAUAUCUUGAAAAUACAAGAAUCCGCACUGGAGAAAAACCUUGAAUCUUGGGGGACCGAACGAUUCAAUUCUGAUUCAGAGGCUCCGAUUUCAUUAUAAUUCGAUUAGUGACGCACCCCCCCUCCCCCGCCCCCCACUAGCUUUAAAAGUUUUUUACAUUAGUACCAAAAAUCCUCUCUGGCUAAACCAAACUACUAUUUCAAUUCAAUUCAAUUUAUUUGUAUAGCCCUCAAUCACAACAGAGGUCUCAAAGGACUUUACAGAGGCAAUAUGAUACACAAUUAGAAAUGAAGCAACAAAGAUGAAUAGAUACAGUUCAAGUCCUGGGUAUCCCCUAUCCUUAAGACCCUCCAUGCCGGCAAGGAAAAACUCCAAAAACUCCAGAGUCAAUUGGGAGAAAAAUGAGAAACCUUGGGGAGUACCACAGUCAGGAGAGAUCCACUCCCAGGACGGAUAGACAGGAACCCCAGAACGGCUAAUGGGAAUUAGCAAGCGAAAUUAUAGUCCGUAAAAAUACAGUGGAGUAAAGGAGCAAGAAGAGGUCCCUCUAGUUGGAUGAGACGGGGGUAACAGCGAGGACGUCUAUCCAGCCAGGGGUCCGGACAGUCAGGAGGCUGCAGCUGAAAAAUAGCCCCUCCCCAUAGGGGAGGGGGGAAAGGGGACACCGGGUGACUAGUGAUGAAGAGACUAGACAACUAGAUAUUAACAUUGGAAAAUAGAAAUAAAGUAAGACAAGUGGUAGGUAGAGUAAGAAAAGGAGAUAGAACUCAGCGGCUGUACUGCCCCCCAGCAUUAUAGCUUCUAGUGCAGCUUAAACUAAACUGUGAGUCUAUUCCGACUUCAACUAGCCUAACCAUAAGCUUUGUCGAAUAGGAACGUUUUAAAUCUAAUCUUAAAUGUGCAGACUGUCUCGGCGUCUUUAAUACUAGCUGGAAGCUGAUUCCAUAAAACAGGGGCUUGGUGGCUAAAGGCUCUAGCUCCGACAGUACUUUUAUGAACCCUGGGAACUACCAGUAGACCUGCAUUCUGAGUGUUCUGUUGGGGCGGUAUGGAACCAGAGCAUCGGUGAGAUAAGAUGGCCCCAACCCAUUAAUGGUCUUAAAUGUAAGAAGGAGUAUUUUAAAUUUAAUUCUAAACUCGACUGGAAGCCAGUGAAGUGCCUUGAGCACAGGGGUGAUGUGCUCUCUUCUAUUGGUUCCUGUUAAAAGUCUUGCUGCUGCGUUUUGGACUAGCUGAAGACCUUUUAGAGAGCUUUUAGGACAAGCUGCAAGUAGGGAGUUACAGUAAUCCAAUCUCGAUGUAACGAACGCGUGAAUUAAUUUUUCUGCAUCGCUUUUAGAUAAAAUAUUUCUAAUUUUGGCGAUGUUGCGCAGGUGAAAGAAAGCCGUUCUACAGGUUUGUUUAAUGUGUGCUUUAAACGAUAAG
This is a long non-coding RNA of Corythoichthys intestinalis (scribbled pipefish), 2532 nucleotides long. RefSeq lists it as uncharacterized. The transcript has 2 exons. Lineage: Eukaryota; Metazoa; Chordata; Actinopteri; Syngnathiformes; Syngnathidae. The record is from RefSeq and is a predicted model, not a curated record.